GGAAGCUAAAACACAAACAGAGACAAAGAGGAAUUAGUUUGUGCAGCAUCAAUCGGGUAUGUCUCCAAACUCGAUGGAUCACAUAACUAAAACUUUAGCUCUUUGUCAUUGUAGGACACAGAUUCAAGGAUGAAUCCUUUCAAAGGAGAGGAGAUUGAUGUGAUACAAGAAGAACAACAGUCCUAUGUCCUAAAAGGCCGAAGUGAUCAUGCUAUAGGAUAAGAAAAGCUCCUCA
Molecule: long non-coding RNA, 235 nt
Filed under: Carica papaya (papaya)
Lineage: Eukaryota; Viridiplantae; Streptophyta; Magnoliopsida; Brassicales; Caricaceae
Description: long non-coding RNA (CPAP_LNC005330)
Source: RNAcentral